ACACAAACGCAAGAUCGUUACCAGUUGCGUGUUAACCAUAAAGGAGAUCGCCACGUUCGAAAAACUAUUUGUGUGAAGUGCCACUUUCUGAUCUCACUCGUGACUGCUGAUCUAGGGUCAGUUAACCGAAGCGGCCAAGCCAUCGUGCCGCUGGAUUGAGCAAGAAAGGAGGGAUUGCCGGCUAGGCAAGUGUGAUCGUUGAGCGAAGCUGAGGACGCGAGGAAGGGGACACUACCUGGAUCUGGAUUCUUCGAGGGACGUAAUGGCGCUGGAGUAGUUCCGCCAUGAGGAUUAAGAGAUCGGCCUAUAUUCUAUUUUCACAUUUUUGUGAAAUGGCGGGUGUGCGGCGUGCCAAGUGCGCUGCCUGGUCGUCCCGCACGAUGU
Molecule: long non-coding RNA, 384 nt
Organism: Culex quinquefasciatus (southern house mosquito)
Lineage: Eukaryota; Metazoa; Arthropoda; Insecta; Diptera; Culicidae
Exons: 4
Source: RefSeq, a predicted model, not a curated record